Molecule: ribosomal RNA, 479 nt
Filed under: uncultured bacterium
Lineage: Bacteria
Description: partial 16S ribosomal RNA
Rfam family: Bacterial small subunit ribosomal RNA
Source: RNAcentral
GAUGAACGCUAGCGGGAGGCCUAACACAUGCAAGCCGAGCGGUAGAGUCUCUUCGGAGACUUGAGAGCGGCGCACGGGUGCGGAACACGUGUGCAACCUGCCUUUAUCUGGGGGAUAGCCUUUCGAAGGGAAGAUUAAUACCCCAUAAUAUACUGGAUGGCAUCAUCUGGUAUUGAAAACUCCGGUGGAUAGAGAUGGGCACGCGCAAGAUUAGAUAGUUGGUGAGGUAACGGCUCACCAAGUCAGCGAUCUUUAGGGGGCCUGAGAGGGUGAUCCCCCACACUGGUACUGCGACACGGACCAGACUCCUACGGGAGGCAGCAGUGAGGAAUAUUGGACAAUGGGUGAGAGCCUGAUCCAGCCAUCCCGCGUGAAGGACGACGGCCCUAUGGGUUGUAAACUUCUUUUGUAUAGGGAUAAACCUAGAUACGUGUAUCUAGCUGAAGGUACUAUACGAAUAAGCACCGGCUAACUCCGUG